CCUACGGGAGGCAGCAGUGGGGAAUAUUGCACAAUGGGGGAAACCCUGAUGCAGCGACGCCGCGUGAGUGAAGAAGUAUUUCGGUAUGUAAAGCUCCAUUAGUCGGGGAGAGAAUGACGGUACCUGAGUAAGAAGACACGGCUAACUACGGGCCAGCAGCCGCGGUAAUACGGAGGGGGCAAGAGUUAUCCGGAUUUACGGGGGGUAAAGGGAGCGUAGACGGCGGAGAAAGUGUGAAGUGAAAGCCCGGGGGUCAACCGCGGAACUGCUUUUGAAACUUUUUUGCUGGAGUACCGGAGAGGUAAGCGGAAUGCCUGGUGUAGCGGUGAAAUGCUUAGAUAUUAGGAGGAACACCGGUGGCGAAGGCGGCUUACUGGACGGUAACUGACGUUGAGGCUCGAAAGCGUGGGGAGCAAACAGGAUUAGAUACCCUGGUAGUC
Molecule: ribosomal RNA, 440 nt
Filed under: uncultured bacterium
Lineage: Bacteria
Description: partial 16S ribosomal RNA
Rfam family: Bacterial small subunit ribosomal RNA
Source: RNAcentral